This 301-nucleotide ribosomal RNA is filed under the name uncultured bacterium. RNAcentral describes it as "partial 16S ribosomal RNA". It matches the Rfam family "Bacterial small subunit ribosomal RNA", at positions 509 to 807 of the family's 1533-position model. The record is from RNAcentral.
CAGUAGCCGCGGGAAUACGUAGGUGGCAAGCGUUGUCCGGAUUUAUUGGGCGUAAAGCGAGCGCAGGCGGUCAAUUAAGUCUGAUGUGAAAGCCCCCGGCUCAACCGGGGAGGGUCAUUGGAAACUGGUUGACUUGAGUGCAGAAGAGGAGAGUGGAAUUCCAUGUGUAGCGGUGAAAUGCGUAGAUAUAUGGAGGAACACCAGUGGCGAAGGCGACUCUCUGGUCUGUAACUGACGCUCAUGCACGAAAGCGUGGGGAGCAAACAGGAUUAGAUACCCGCGUAGUCCCUGUCUCUUAUAC